UGCAAGUCGAACGGCAGCGCGGGGCAACCUGGCGGCGAGUGGCGAACGGGUGAGUAAUAUAUCGGAACGUACCCAGAAGUGGGGGAUAACGUAGCGAAAGUUACGCUAAUACCGCAUACGAUCUACGGAUGAAAGUGGGGGACCUUCGGGCCUCAUGCUUUUGGAGCGGCCGAUAUCUGAUUAGCUAGUUGGUGAGGUAAAGGCUCACCAAGGCGACGAUCAGUAGCUGGUCUGAGAGGACGACCAGCCACACUGGGACUGAGACACGGCCCAGACUCCUACAGGAGGCAGCAGUGGGGAAUUUUGGACAAUGGGCGCAAGCCUGAUCCAGCAAUGCCGCGUGAGUGAAGAAGGCCUUCGGGUUGUAAAGCUCUUUUGUCAGGGAAGAAACGGCCUCAGCUAAUAUCUGGGGCUAAUGACGGUACCUGAAGAAUAAGCACCGGCUAACUACGUGCCAGCAGCCGCGGUAAUACGUAGGGUGCAAGCGUUAAUCGGAAUUACUGGGCGUAAAGCGUGCGCAGGCGGUUUUGUAAGUCUGUCGUGAAAGCCCCGGGCUUAACCUGGGAAUUGCGAUGGAGACUGCAAGGCUUGAAUCUGGCAGAGGGGGGUAGAAUUCCACGUGUAGCAGUGAAAUGCGUAGAGAUGUGGAGGAACACCGAUGGCGAAGGCAGCCCCCUGGGUCAAGAUUGACGCUCAUGCACGAAAGCGUGAGGAGCAGACAGGAUUAGAUACCCUGGUAGUCCACGCCCUAAACGAUGUCUACUAGUUGUCGGGUCUUAAUUGACUUGGUAACGCAGCUAACGCGUGAAGUAGACCGCCUGGGGAGUACGGUCGCAAGAUUAGAACUCAUAGGAAUUGACGGAGACCCGCACAAGCGGUGGAUGAUGUGGAUUAAUUCGAUGCAACGCGAAAAACCUUACCUACCCUUGACAUGUCAGGAACCUCCGAGAGAUUGGAGGGUGCCCGAAAGGGAGCCUGAACACAGGUGCUGCAUGGCUGUCGUCAGCUCGUGUCCUGAGAUGUUGGGUUAAGUCCCGCAACGAGCGCAACCCUUGUCAUUAUUUGCUACGCAAGAGCACUCUAAUGAGACUGCCGGUGACAAACCGGAGGAAAGGUGGGGAUAACCUUCAGUCCCUAUGGCCCUUUUGGGUAGGGCUUCCCACGUCAUACAAUGGUACAUACAAAGGGCCGCCAACCCGCGAAGGGGAACUAAUCCCAAAAAGUGUAUCGUAGUCCGGAUCGCAGUCUGCAACUCGACUGCGUGAAGUUGGAAUCGCUAGUAAUCGCGGAUCAGCAUGCCGCGGUGAAUACGUUCCCGGGUCUUGUACACACCGCCCGUCACACCAUGGGAGCGGGUUUUACCAUGAAGUAGGUAGCUUAACCGCAAGGAGGGCG
This 1395-nucleotide ribosomal RNA is filed under the name Massilia sp. Its description in RNAcentral is "bacterial SSU rRNA". It matches the Rfam family "Bacterial small subunit ribosomal RNA". The record is from RNAcentral. Lineage: Bacteria; Pseudomonadati; Pseudomonadota; Betaproteobacteria; Burkholderiales; Oxalobacteraceae.